CUGGACUGGCGGCGUGCUAUACAUGCAAGUCGAGCGGACAGAUGGGAGCUUGCUCCCUGAUGUUAGCGGCGGACGGGUGAGUAACACGUGGGUAACCUGCCUGUAAGACUGGGAUAACUCCGGGAAACCGGGGCUAAUACCGGAUGGUUGUUUGAACCGCAUGGUUCAAACAUAAAAGGUGGCUUCGGCUACCACUUACAGAUGGACCCGCGGCGCAUUAGCUAGUUGGUGAGGUAACGGCUCACCAAGGCAACGAUGCGUAGCCGACCUGAGAGGGUGAUCGGCCACACUGGGACUGAGACACGGCCCAGACUCCUACGGGAGGCAGCAGUAGGGAAUCUUCCGCAAUGGACGAAAGUCUGACGGAGCAACGCCGCGUGAGUGAUGAAGGUUUUCGGAUCGUAAAGCUCUGUUGUUAGGGAAGAACAAGUACCGUUCGAAUAGGGCGGUACCUUGACGGUACCUAACCAGAAAGCCACGGCUAACUACGUGCCAGCAGCCGCGGUAAUACGUAGGUGGCAAGCGUUGUCCGGAAUUAUUGGGCGUAAAGGGCUCGCAGGCGGUUUCUUAAGUCUGAUGUGAAAGCCCCCGGCUCAACCGGGGAGGGUCAUUGGAAACUGGGGAACUUGAGUGCAGAAGAGGAGAGUGGAAUUCCACGUGUAGCGGUGAAAUGCGUAGAGAUGUGGAGGAACACCAGUGGCGAAGGCGACUCUCUGGUCUGUAACUGACGCUGAGGAGCGAAAGCGU
Molecule: ribosomal RNA, 747 nt
Filed under: Bacillus tequilensis
Lineage: Bacteria; Bacillati; Bacillota; Bacilli; Caryophanales; Bacillaceae
Description: bacterial SSU rRNA
Rfam family: Bacterial small subunit ribosomal RNA
Source: RNAcentral